GGACCCGCACAAGUAGUGGAGCAUGUGGUUUAAUUCGAAGAUACGCGCAGAACCUUACCAACACUUGACAUGUUCGUCGCGACUCUAAGAGAUUAGAGUUUUCGGUUCGGCCGGACGAAACACAGGUGCUGCAUGGCUGUCGUCAGCUCGUGUCGUGAGAUGUUGGGUUAAGUCCCGCAACGAGCGCAACCCUCACUUUUAGUUGCCAUCAUUAAGUUGGGCACUCUGAAAGAACUGCCAGUGAUAAGCUGGAGGAAGGUGGGGAUGACGUCAAGUCCUCAUGGCCCUUACGUGUUGGGCUACACACGUGCUACAAUGGUAUCUACAACAGGAAGCAAGACUGCGAAGUUAAGCAAAUCCCUAAAAGAUACCUCAGUUCGGAUUGCACUCUGCAACUCGAGUGCAUGAAGCUGGAAUUACUAGUAAUCGUGGAUC
This 435-nucleotide ribosomal RNA is filed under the name uncultured bacterium. RNAcentral describes it as "bacterial SSU rRNA". It matches the Rfam family "Bacterial small subunit ribosomal RNA", at positions 917 to 1350 of the family's 1533-position model. The record is from RNAcentral.